AUUCGAUACAAUUUCUACACAUUAGCCUUUGUAUCUCAUCCCCCAAGUUUUAAAUUUUAUAUCUAUAUGAAAAGGGGGAUAACUCAAUUUUAAUUUCAAAAGUGUCAAACAGCUGUUAGUCCCCAGUUUUUCCAAGUUGUAAUUUGUUAUGUAAAUAUGUAUAUAUGUUGUGAUAUUACACAUGCUUAGUAGUAAUAAAAUAUUUCUUUUAUCCUAUUGUUUGUUAACAUAGAUGGAUUCAAAGUAUGAUAGAAGUGAUGGUAUAAAUCCGUGAGACAGCAAAACAAUAGAAUAUUGUUUAAAAAAUGUACAUAUCUAAGAGGCAGCAUCAGGUCAACUUGGCAAUAGUAUUUUAGUACGACAGUAAAGGACUUAUAAGUUGAUAUAGUUUGCUCAGGUCACUUUCUAGUUUGGUAUAUAAGUCAUGCAAUAUAGUAACAGGUUUGUAAAGGUCCAAGAUUGGUUUUCUUAUACAUGUAUCCAGUUCCAUUAUUGUGGUAUAUGCCAUGAGACAUUUACAAGGCUGUUCGUAUAUGUAGAUAUCGUGAGAAAUAUUGGGUUUAUUACAUUAGGAAAUGAC
Molecule: long non-coding RNA, 580 nt
Filed under: Mytilus galloprovincialis (Mediterranean mussel)
Lineage: Eukaryota; Metazoa; Mollusca; Bivalvia; Mytilida; Mytilidae
Source: RNAcentral